GCUUGCUUCAGCAGUGCAUAUACCAAAAUUAUAAUGAUACAGAGAAGACUAAACAUGGCACCUGUGCAAGGAUGACACUCAAAUUUAUCACGUAUUCCAUGUUUUA
RNAcentral lists this small nuclear RNA (106 nucleotides) under Delphinapterus leucas (beluga whale). The record is from RNAcentral. Lineage: Eukaryota; Metazoa; Chordata; Mammalia; Artiodactyla; Monodontidae.